This 253-nucleotide ribosomal RNA is filed under the name uncultured bacterium. RNAcentral's name for it is "partial 16S ribosomal RNA". It matches the Rfam family "Bacterial small subunit ribosomal RNA", at positions 524 to 776 of the family's 1533-position model. The record is from RNAcentral.
UACGUAGGGUGCGAGCGUUAAUCGGAAUUACUGGGCGUAAAGCGUGCGCAGGCGGUUUUGUAAGCCAGAUGUGAAAGCCCCGGGCUUAACCUGGGAAUGGCAUUUGGGACUGCAAGGCUUGAGUGCGGCAGAGGAGACUGGAAUUCCUGGUGUAGCAGUGAAAUGCGUAGAUAUCAGGAGGAAUACCGAUGGCGAAGGCGGCAUCCUGGACCGAGACUGACGCUGAGGAGCGAAAGCCAGGGGAGCAAACGGG